GCCUACGGGGGGCAGCAGUGGGGAAUAUUGGGCAAUGGGCGCAAGCCUGACCCAGCAACGCCGCGUGAAGGAAGAAGGCUUUCGGGUUGUAAACUUCUUUUAAGAGGGAAGAGCAGAAGACGGUACCUCUUGAAUAAGCCCCGGCUAACUACGUGCCAGCAGCCGCGGUAAUACGUAGGGGGCAAGCGUUAUCCGGAUUUACUGGGUGUAAAGGGAGCGUAGACGGUGAUGCAAGUCAGAAGUGAAAGCCCGCGGCUCAACUGCGGGACUGCUUUUGAAACUGUAUAACUAGAGUGCAGGAGAGG
This 305-nucleotide ribosomal RNA is filed under the name uncultured bacterium. RNAcentral's name for it is "bacterial SSU rRNA". It matches the Rfam family "Bacterial small subunit ribosomal RNA", at positions 337 to 657 of the family's 1533-position model. The record is from RNAcentral.